This 914-nucleotide small RNA is filed under the name Pan troglodytes (chimpanzee). RNAcentral's name for it is "retained intron". Lineage: Eukaryota; Metazoa; Chordata; Mammalia; Primates; Hominidae. The record is from RNAcentral.
GUGCGCAGGCGCGCCUAGAUGGCCGCGCUCCUGGCCGCCUAGAGCCGGAGCGGCCCGCGGAGCUGCGGAGGCAGCCAUGGUCGGGGCGCUGUGCGGCUGCUGGUUCCGCCUGGGCGGGGCCCGCGCGCUCAUCCCGUUCGGCCCGCUCACCACGCGCAGCGCCAUGACCAGCAAGGGUCCCGAGGAGGAGCACCCAUCGGUGACGCUCUUCCGCCAGUACCUGCGCAUCCGCACCGUCCAGCCCAAGCCUGACUAUGGUGGCACCUGGCUAUGUGGUGACCGUGUUGACCUGGCCAGGCACCAACCCUACACUCUCCUCCAUCUUGCUCAACUCCCACACGGAUGUGGUGCCUGUCUUCAAGGUACCUGGAAGCUGUGAGGAGGCUGAAGGUGGAGGGCCACCGGUUCCCCAGAACCAUCCACAUGACCUUUGUGCCUGAUGAGGAGGUUGGGGGUCACCAAGGCAUGGAGCUGUUCGUGCAGCGGCCUGAGUUCCACGCCCUGAGGGCAGGCUUUGCCCUGGAUGAGGGUGAGCAGGUUGGCAAGCCAAUGAGCAGCCAGGCAGGGAGUAGGAGGCUGCUAGUGGGGACUGAGCUGCUCCACCCUCUGAACCCCCUUUCCCUCCUCAGGCAUAGCCAAUCCCACUGAUGCCUUCACUGUCUUUUAUAGUGAGCGGAGUCCCUGGUGUAAGUAUGAGCUUGGAGGGAGGGCUCACUCUACAGGUGGGAGGCUAGGCCAGAAAGGGCACGGUCCUAUGCAGGGUUGCACAGCAAAGUUGAGGCCUGAGAAGGCCUUGAACCCAGGGCCUCUGCCUCCCAGCUCUUUCCUAUCUGAGCUUCUCUGAGGGCAAGCCCUGAAUAGGCAGAAACCAGCUGUAUGCUACGGGCCCUGAGUGGGGACAGGACCCUGCCAGA